RNAcentral lists this ribosomal RNA (490 nucleotides) under uncultured bacterium. RNAcentral's name for it is "partial 16S ribosomal RNA". It matches the Rfam family "Bacterial small subunit ribosomal RNA", at positions 30 to 507 of the family's 1533-position model. The record is from RNAcentral.
AUUGAACGCUGGCGGCAGGCCUAACACAUGCAAGUCGAACGGUAACAGGAAGAAGCUUGCUUCUUUGCUGACGAGUGGCGGACGGGUGAGUAAUGUCUGGGAAACUGCCUGAUGGAGGGGGAUAACUACUGGAAACGGUAGCUAAUACCGCAUAACGUCGCAAGACCAAAGAGGGGGACCUUCGGGCCUCUUGCCAUCGGAUGUGCCCAGAUGGGAUUAGCUAGUAGGUGGGGUAACGGCUCACCUAGGCGACAAUCCCUAGCUGGUCUGAGAGGAUGACCAGCCACACUGGAACUGAGACACGGUCCAGACUCCUACGGGAGGCAGCAGUGGGGAAUAUUGCACAAUGGGCGCAAGCCUGAUGCAGCCAUGCCGCGUGUAUGAAGAAGGCCUUCGGGUUGUAAAGUACUUUCAGCGGGGAGGAAGGGAGUAAAGUUAAUACCUUUGCUCAUUGACGUUACCCGCAGAAGAAGCACCGGCUAACUCCGUG